Molecule: ribosomal RNA, 108 nt
Filed under: uncultured eukaryote
Lineage: Eukaryota
Description: partial small subunit ribosomal RNA
Source: RNAcentral
UCGCACCUACCGAUUGAAUGGUCCGAUGAAGACUCGGGACUGUGAUUGUAUUCUUUAUUGAGUGCGAUUGCGGGAACCUGUCUAAACCUUAUCAUUUAGAGGAAGGUG